RNAcentral lists this ribosomal RNA (790 nucleotides) under uncultured Staphylococcus sp. RNAcentral describes it as "bacterial SSU rRNA". It matches the Rfam family "Bacterial small subunit ribosomal RNA", at positions 12 to 784 of the family's 1533-position model. The record is from RNAcentral. Lineage: Bacteria; Bacillati; Bacillota; Bacilli; Caryophanales; Staphylococcaceae.
UUUGAUCCUGGGUCAGGAUGAACGCUGGCGGCGUGCCUAAUACAUGCAAGUCGAGCGAACAGAUAAGGAGCUUGCUCCUUUGACGUUAGCGGCGGACGGGUGAGUAACACGUGGGUAACCUACCUAUAAGACUGGAAUAACUCCGGGAAACCGGGGCUAAUGCCGGAUAACAUGUUGAACCGCAUGGUUCUACAGUGAAAGGCGGCUUUGCUGUCACUUAUAGAUGGACCCGCGCCGUAUUAGCUAGUUGGUGAGGUAACGGCUCACCAAGGCAACGAUACGUAGCCGACCUGAGAGGGUGAUCGGCCACACUGGAACUGAGACACGGUCCAGACUCCUACGGGAGGCAGCAGUAGGGAAUCUUCCGCAAUGGGCGAAAGCUGACGGAGCAACGCCGCGUGAGUGAUGAAGGUCUUCGGAUCGUAAAACUCUGUUAUUAGGGAAGAACAAAUGCGUAAGUAACUGUGCGCGUCUUGACGGUACCUAAUCAGAAAGCCACGGCUAACUACGUGCCAGCAGCCGCGGUAAUACGUAGGUGGCAAGCGUUAUCCGGAAUUAUUGGGCGUAAAGCGCGCGUAGGCGGUUUUUUAAGUCUGAUGUGAAAGCCCACGGCUCAACCGUGGAGGGUCAUUGGAAACUGAAAAACUUGAGUGCAGAAGAGGGAAGUGGAAUUCCAUGUUGUAGCGGUGAAAUGCGCAGAGAUAUGGAGGAACACCAGUGGCGAAGGCGACUUUCUGGUCUGUAACUGACGCUGAUGUGCGAAAGCGUGGGGAUCAAACAGGAUUCGAUA